Molecule: ribosomal RNA, 523 nt
Filed under: uncultured Pseudomonadota bacterium
Lineage: Bacteria; Pseudomonadati; Pseudomonadota
Description: bacterial SSU rRNA
Rfam family: Bacterial small subunit ribosomal RNA
Source: RNAcentral
UGGGGGAUAUUGCGCAAUGGGCGAAAGCCUGACGCAGCGACGCCGCGUGGGUGAUGAAGGCCUUCGGGUCGUAAAGCCCUGUCGAGGGGAACGAAACGGUCUCGACCUAACAACGUCGAGUCCCUGACGGUACCCCUAAAGGAAGCACCGGCUAACUCCGUGCCAGCAGCCGCGGUAAUACGGAGGGUGCGAGCGUUGUUCGGAAUCACUGGGCGUAAAGGGCGUGUAGGCGGUCCGCUAAGUCUGAUGUGAAAGCCCGGGGCUCACCCCCGGAAGGGCAUUGGAAACUGGCGGACUCGAGUCCCGGAGAGGAAGGUGGAAUUCCUGGUGUAGCGGUGAAAUGCGUAGAUAUCAGGAGGAAUACCGGUGGCGAAGGCGGCCUUCUGGACGGUGACUGACGCUGAGACGCGAAAGCGUGGGGAGCAAACAGGAUUAGAUACCCUGGUAGUCCACGCUGUAAACGAUGAGCACUAGGUGUCGUGGGUAUUGACCCCCGCGGUCGCCGACGCUAACGCAUUAAGUG